UACCAGCGGCCCUAGUGGUGAUCGUUAUUAUUGGGCCUAAAGCGUCCGUAGCCGGUUCGGUAAAUCUCUGGGUAAAUCGUUGGGCUUAACUCAGCGAAUUCUGGGGAGACUGCCGAACUUGGGACCGGGAGAGGUCGGAGGUACUCCAGGGGUAGGGGUGAAAUCCUGUAAUCCUUGGGGGACCACCGGUGGCGAAAGCGUCCGACCAGAACGGGUCCGACGGUAAGGGACGAAGCCCUGGGUCGCGAACCGG
This 253-nucleotide ribosomal RNA is filed under the name uncultured bacterium. RNAcentral's name for it is "partial 16S ribosomal RNA". It matches the Rfam family "Archaeal small subunit ribosomal RNA", at positions 474 to 727 of the family's 1478-position model. The record is from RNAcentral.